Molecule: ribosomal RNA, 301 nt
Filed under: uncultured bacterium
Lineage: Bacteria
Description: partial 16S ribosomal RNA
Rfam family: Bacterial small subunit ribosomal RNA
Source: RNAcentral
CAGCAGCCGCGGGAAUACGUAGGUGGCAAGCGUUGUCAGGAAUUAUUGGGCGUAAAGGGCUCGCAGGCGGUUUCUUAAGUCUGAUGUGAAAGCCCCCGGCUCAACCGGGGAGGGUCAUUGGAAACUGGGAAACUUGAGUGCAGAAGAGGAGAGUGGAAUUCCACGUGUAGCGGUGAAAUGCGCAGAGAUGUGGAGGAACACCAGUGGCGAAGGCGACUCUCUGGUCUGUAACUGACGCUGAGGAGCGAAAGCGUGGGGAGCGAACAGGAUUAGAUACCCGUGUAGUCCCUGUCUCUUAUAC